GUAAUUAUCCAGUUGAUAUUUAUCUUGUUCCAGUCACCUUUAGAAAGCUGUUUGGCAAGGGCAGUGACUGGAAGCUGGGAGAGAGGGUCAACAGCUGAAUCUCAGCCUGAUGGAGGCCACCAUUUAAUAAGUAAAUACAUGCACGGCUAUUUAGAUCCUGCAUCAGACAGGUCAUCAGAAAACAUGAAGCUAAAUGCAGUAAAGAAUUACUCUCUUGAACUCUUGAAAAUAUCAAAAACAUGAAGCUAAAUGCAGUAAAGAAUUAGUCUCUUGAACUCUUGAAAAUAUCAUUUUCUUAUAGAAAUGGUUUAAAAAUUUCUUUUUUAUUAUUUCUAAUUUUCCUUCAGAAAAUUGUGAGUUUUAACCUACAACACAUACACUCCAAGGUAAUGCCACUCUAAUGCUGUCUAGUUGAUCUGAAUAACUAACUGGUCAAUUAUCAGAUCCACCAAACUGUCUCUCUGGAGAUUAACUUCUGCCAGCAUAUUGGUUUCUGUUCAUUUUCACAAGAUUGACAGGCUCAUUACAGCAAUAUUAACAUCUUCCUUUGAGCACUCACACUGUGCAAUUGUAAUUUUGCAUAUGUUGAUGAGCAGGCAAUUACAUCAAAGAGUGAACACUGGGCUGAUGUGCAAGGCACUAUUUAAUUAUAAAAACAGUAUAGGAUUGAGCCCUGUCACUGAGUCUUCCAUUCCUUCUAUCUCGCCUGUUUCUAAUUUAUUUCUCUAUUUCUUCAUUUCUUCCUUGACUGUCUUCAUUCUUUGCUUUUUAUUUCUUUCUCCUUAAAUGACAGACCUUUUCUUAGAUGCCAUUUCUCUAUGUCUGCGCUUAAGACAAGAAUUUUUUUCCUCCUAGUUGUUGGUUAAUGUCUGCAAAUGUGAGAGCAUGUUAACAUGACAAACAACAAGGAAUUUGAAAUAAACUUAAAUGAAACA
This 935-nucleotide long non-coding RNA is filed under the name Homo sapiens (human). RNAcentral's name for it is "non-protein coding SLC8A1-AS1:30". Lineage: Eukaryota; Metazoa; Chordata; Mammalia; Primates; Hominidae. The record is from RNAcentral.